AGAGUUUGAUCAUGGCUCAGGNUGAACGCUAGCUACAGGCUUAACACAUGCAAGUCGAGGGGAAACGACAUCGAAAGCUUGCUUUUGAUGGGCGUCGACCGGCGCACGGGUGAGUAACGCGUAUCCAACCUGCCCACCACGUUGGGGAUAACCUUGCGAAAGUAAGACUAAUACCCAAUGAUAUCUCUAGAAGACAUCUGAAAGAGAUUAAAGAUUUAUCGGUGAUGGAUGGGGAUGCGUCUGAUUAGCUUGUUGGCGGGGUAACGGCCCACCAAGGCGACGAUCAGUAGGGGUUCUGAGAGGAAGGUCCCCCACAUUGGAACUGAGACACGGUCCAAACUCCUACGGGAGGCAGCA
RNAcentral lists this ribosomal RNA (357 nucleotides) under uncultured bacterium. Its description in RNAcentral is "bacterial SSU rRNA". It matches the Rfam family "Bacterial small subunit ribosomal RNA", at positions 8 to 353 of the family's 1533-position model. The record is from RNAcentral.